GACGAACGCUGGCGGCGUGCCUAACACAUGCAAGUCGAACGGAGAUAUAAUUUCGGUUAUAUCUUAGUGGCGAACGGGUGAGUAACGCGUGAGCAACCUGACCUUCAGAGGGGGAUAACACUUGGAAACAGGUGCUAAUACCGCAUAAGACCACGACCCGACAUCGGGAUGAGGUCAAAGGAGAAAUCCGCUGAGGGAGGGGCUCGCGUCCCAGUAGAUAGAUGGCGAGAUAAAGGCCCACCAUGUCGACGAUGGGUAGCCGAGCUGAGAGGCUGAUCGGCCACACUGGAACUGAGACACGGUCCAGACUCCUACGGGAGGCAGCAGUGGGGAAUAUUGGGCAAUGGGCGCAAGCCUGACCCAGCAACGCCGCGUGAGGGAAGAAGGCCUUCGGGUUGUAAACCUCUGUCCUUGGUGACGAAAAAAAUGACGGUAGCCAAGGAGGAAGCCCCGGCUAACUACGUGCCAGCCGCCGCCGUAA
RNAcentral lists this ribosomal RNA (481 nucleotides) under uncultured bacterium. RNAcentral describes it as "partial 16S ribosomal RNA". It matches the Rfam family "Bacterial small subunit ribosomal RNA", at positions 28 to 523 of the family's 1533-position model. The record is from RNAcentral.